This 1492-nucleotide ribosomal RNA is filed under the name Limosilactobacillus fermentum. RNAcentral describes it as "bacterial SSU rRNA". It matches the Rfam family "Bacterial small subunit ribosomal RNA". The record is from RNAcentral. Lineage: Bacteria; Bacillati; Bacillota; Bacilli; Lactobacillales; Lactobacillaceae.
ACGCCGGCGGUGUGCCUAAUACAUGCAAGUCGAACGCGUUGGCCCAAUUGAUUGAUGGUGCUUGCACCUGAUUGAUUUUGGUCGCCAACGAGUGGCGGACGGGUGAGUAACACGUAGGUAACCUGCCCAGAAGCGGGGGACAACAUUUGGAAACAGAUGCUAAUACCGCAUAACAGCGUUGUUCGCAUGAACAACGCUUAAAAGAUGGCUUCUCGCUAUCACUUCUGGAUGGACCUGCGGUGCAUUAGCUUGUUGGUGGGGUAACGGCCUACCAAGGCGAUGAUGCAUAGCCGAGUUGAGAGACUGAUCGGCCACAAUGGGACUGAGACACGGCCCAUACUCCUACGGGAGGCAGCAGUAGGGAAUCUUCCACAAUGGGCGCAAGCCUGAUGGAGCAACACCGCGUGAGUGAAGAAGGGUUUCGGCUCGUAAAGCUCUGUUGUUAAAGAAGAACACGUAUGAGAGUAACUGUUCAUACGUUGACGGUAUUUAACCAGAAAGUCACGGCUAACUACGUGCCAGCAGCCGCGGUAAUACGUAGGUGGCAAGCGUUAUCCGGAUUUAUUGGGCGUAAAGAGAGUGCAGGCGGUUUUCUAAGUCUGAUGUGAAAGCCUUCGGCUUAACCGGAGAAGUGCAUCGGAAACUGGAUAACUUGAGUGCAGAAGAGGGUAGUGGAACUCCAUGUGUAGCGGUGGAAUGCGUAGAUAUAUGGAAGAACACCAGUGGCGAAGGCGGCUACCUGGUCUGCAACUGACGCUGAGACUCGAAAGCAUGGGUAGCGAACAGGAUUAGAUACCCUGGUAGUCCAUGCCGUAAACGAUGAGUGCUAGGUGUUGGAGGGUUUCCGCCCUUCAGUGCCGGAGCUAACGCAUUAAGCACUCCGCCUGGGGAGUACGACCGCAAGGUUGAAACUCAAAGGAAUUGACGGGGGCCCGCACAAGCGGUGGAGCAUGUGGUUUAAUUCGAAGCUACGCGAAGAACCUUACCAGGUCUUGACAUCUUGCGCCAACCCUAGAGAUAGGGCGUUUCCUUCGGGAACGCAAUGACAGGUGGUGCAUGGUCGUCGUCAGCUCGUGUCGUGAGAUGUUGGGUUAAGUCCCGCAACGAGCGCAACCCUUGUUACUAGUUGCCAGCAUUAAGUUGGGCACUCUAGUGAGACUGCCGGUGACAAACCGGAGGAAGGUGGGGACGACGUCAGAUCAUCAUGCCCCUUAUGACCUGGGCUACACACGUGCUACAAUGGACGGUACAACGAGUCGCGAACUCGCGAGGGCAAGCAAAUCUCUUAAAACCGUUCUCAGUUCGGACUGCAGGCUGCAACUCGCCUGCACGAAGUCGGAAUCGCUAGUAAUCGCGGAUCAGCAUGCCGCGGUGAAUACGUUCCCGGGCCUUGUACACACCGCCCGUCACACCAUGAGAGUUUGUAACACCCAAAGUCGGUGGGGUAACCUUUUAGGAGCCAGCCGCCUAAGGUGGGACAGAUGAUUAGGGU